AAUUCUUAAUUGAUUUAUUAAUAUUUAUAUAAUUACAUGUUAUUAUAGGCUGCCAUGUCGGAUUUCAUAAUUAAAAAAUAAUUUUUAACCCAAGAUAAUAUAAAUUAUUGGGUCAGCCCUUGUCUUUCAUUGAAUAUCAAUUUUUAUUUUCAACUUUUUUUUUAAAUAGAAACUGAGUUGCCUUAGAAUCCUAAUACUAAAAAGAAAAAAGUCAAUUAUAUGGCAUGAAGCUUUUUCACCCUAAGCCAGCAAACAGACACGUGCACCAAGAGCACGAUUGGCUAAUGCAUCAGCUAGCUGAUUACAAGAAGCAAAGGAAUAUGUCAAAUUUAUAAGGCACGACAAGGCAAAAUUAGUCAUCUACGUAUUGAGGAUUUGACAGUAAGAAAACUAAAUGUCGGAUGGGUAUGUUAAAUGAGUGUUCAAAGUAGUAAUUUUAUAUUUGUUUAUAACAUAUGGUCCUUAAUAAUAAUAAUCCAUUUUACGAUAGUAGAAUAUUUUGAUUAAAGAUGGCUAACGGGCGAUGCCAAUCAUCAAAGAUGAAAUACCAGCUAAGCAACUCAAGAGGGUGGUGAAUUGAGUUUAUAAAAAAUUAUGAAAUAAUUAAAUCAAAAUUCAAUGCAAAUAUCUAAUAAAAUUACGCAACUAACAAACAAAUAAAUAACAACAAUUAAAAUGUAAAGAGAGAAGGGAAAGAGAAUCAAACACGAGAUUUUUACGUGGUUUGGCAAACCCUACCUACAUCCACGCCUCCAAACUCACCGGGUUUGAGGAUUCUAUUAACCAAGUCUUACACCUUAAGGUUUAAAAUUUUUUACAAUUGACUUCCAAGGUGCAAUCUAUUUUAUUAUCAUCAAAAUCAAUAUUAUAGGAAUAUUUAUGUUAACAGAAGGAAGGCUCAUGCGUGUCGUACUUGCGCUGUGCCGUGCCAUGCCCACUAUGUACUUCGUGUCAUACCUAAUUUUUUAUACUUAGGCCCAGCUCAGCACAACACACAUGUCGUAUCAUGGGCCGUGCUAUGCCGUUCCUAAGAAAAAAAGAACAAGAAAUAUUUUUUUUUUUCUAAGAAGGCAGCCUACUUUUUUCAAGGCUAUCUACUUUUUUGAGUUUAUGUGCUUUUAGUUAAAUUCAAUAGAAUCAAAAUUUCAAAACUCAAGUCUAUAUUCAAUAAUAAUAAACUAAUAAUAGUAAGAGAAUAUAAUACUAAUUAUUAAGUUAGACCUUACGGUAUUAAUUUUUUUUUAACACUUAACAACAACAACAACAACAACAACAAUAUUAAUUUUUUCUUAAUGGUUAAUUUAAUUGUUAACUUUGAUUAACAUUGAGUUAUAGAUCAUAGUUCAUACUAAUAUUAAUACAUAUCAAUAAAAUCAUGAUAUUU
This 1384-nucleotide long non-coding RNA is filed under the name Citrus x clementina. Its description in RNAcentral is "Citrus clementina (C. clementina) long non-coding RNA (CCLE_LNC005652)". The record is from RNAcentral. Lineage: Eukaryota; Viridiplantae; Streptophyta; Magnoliopsida; Sapindales; Rutaceae.